GUGAGUUUAGCUCAGUUGGUAGGACAAUGCAUUAUUAUAUGCAGCGGUCGAGGUUCGAAUCCUGGACACCCCACU
Molecule: transfer RNA, 75 nt
Filed under: Medicago truncatula (barrel medic)
Lineage: Eukaryota; Viridiplantae; Streptophyta; Magnoliopsida; Fabales; Fabaceae
Description: tRNA-OTHER
Source: RNAcentral